GACGAACGCUGGCGGCGUGCUUAACACAUGCAAGUCGAACGGAAAGGCCCUGCUUUUGUGGGGUGCUCGAGUGGCGAACGGGUGAGUAACACGUGAGUAACCUGCCCUUGACUUUGGGAUAACUUCAGGAAACUGGGGUUAAUACCGGAUAGGAGCUCCUGCUGCAUGGUGGGGGUUGGAAAGUUUCGGCGGUUGGGGAUGGACUCGCGGCUUAUCAGCUUGUUGGUGGGGUAGUGGCUUACCAAGGCUUUGACGGGUAGCCGGCCUGAGAGGGUGAACGGCCACAUUGGGACUGAGAUACGGCCCAGACUCCUACGGUGGGCAGCAGUGGGGAAUAUUGCACAAUGGGCGGAAGCCUGAUGCAGCAACGCCGCGUGCGGGAUGACGUCCUUCGGGUUGUAAACCGCUUUCGCCUGUUACGAAGCGGGAGUGACGGUAAUGGGUAAAGAAGCACCGGCUAACUACGUG
RNAcentral lists this ribosomal RNA (468 nucleotides) under uncultured bacterium. RNAcentral's name for it is "partial 16S ribosomal RNA". It matches the Rfam family "Bacterial small subunit ribosomal RNA", at positions 28 to 507 of the family's 1533-position model. The record is from RNAcentral.